ACGCUCGACACCUACGGAAGGCAGCAGUGGGGAAUAUUGCACAAUGGGGGAAACCCUGAUGCAGCGACGCCGCGUGAGCGAAGAAGUAUUUCGGUAUGUAAAGCUCUAUCAGCAGGGAAGAAAGUGACGGUACCUGACUAAGAAGCCCCGGCUAACUACGUGCUAGCAGCCGCGGUAAUCUGAGCGGGCUGGCAAGGC
This 198-nucleotide ribosomal RNA is filed under the name uncultured bacterium. RNAcentral describes it as "partial 16S ribosomal RNA". It matches the Rfam family "Bacterial small subunit ribosomal RNA", at positions 326 to 539 of the family's 1533-position model. The record is from RNAcentral.